Molecule: long non-coding RNA, 1860 nt
Organism: Harpia harpyja (harpy eagle)
Lineage: Eukaryota; Metazoa; Chordata; Aves; Accipitriformes; Accipitridae
Exons: 4
Source: RefSeq, a predicted model, not a curated record
AUAACAGCGGGGCAGGUGUGUCAAGGUGGGGAAGACUCCCUGCGGACCCAUCCUAAUUACACUAACCUCACGUUUCUGAUACUGCUGCUGUUCUUUCUGGCCUCUGUACUGAUGUUACAAGGACAUUUGGUCAGCUGGCAGCACUGGGAGACGGGACAUAGGUGCCUGGGUGCGUGUUGCACAGGUGUGCACAAUGGUCUUUGACAUGUUAUGCUGAAUAGAGGAAAAGUCCUGCCUCAGACUGGUCCUGGUCAAACAGCACAAUCAGGUGCAGCAUGAGAUAGUAUGGAAAAAGUAAAGGUACCCAUCAUGAAGAAGAGCCUAUUAUGCUAAAGACCUGUCCGUUGAUCUGUACGAUUGUUCAUCUUACAUUUUAAUGUAUCUCGGAAAAACAUCUGUUCUUACAGCUUAGCAGCCUGCUGUUCAACAGCCUACUGUGAACAGGGUGCAAGAAACAAAGGACUGCAUGUUGGAGGGAAUUCGUUGGGAAGUUUGGGGGAUCGUCUUUAUUCAAACUCUUCAAAGUCAAGGUUGGAGAGAAAAGACGAAUUCUAAGAAUGUAGAUUCGAUCAGAGGGCUAAAAGAUGGCAGUAAACAGAAGAUAAAGAAUAUGCUUUAUCCUCCAGUGGGUACCUGGUAGAAGCUGCUCCAGAAAGUGCUGCCUGGCAGAACUUGUGUCAUAUCAGGAGUGAAAACCCCUGUAUACCAGGACGAAAUCCAAGAAUUACAAAGGGAAUUCAGAUGGGAAUUGAAAAUCAUUAAGGAGGAAAAAGGAUGCCGCACAGGGAGUUCAUCGUCUCCUAACAUAUGCAGAAUGAAGAAACUCUAGAAGGCAGACUUUGAAGAAUAUGAGGACAGGAAAUAAUAAUGGAUGAGGUAGUACAAAGAGAAACAGAAUCAAAAAUAAGGUUCAUACUAGUGUAAAAAGAAGUAGGCAGAAGAUGAAGUGCCAAGGAAGAUGAGAAGAAAAGCAAGUCUUGGCAUGCUGUAUGCACACAGACACAGAAACCAAGGAUGUGACACACAUAAAGAGAAUUCACAAGGCACCACAGAACAGAAUGCUUUACCAAAAGUGGAACAAACGGGGUAUAACCUGAGAUUCAUGACUCGAAAGACACUACCCAGUGCGUAUGGUGACAGAUGAAGGGACAGUCCUCUACUCAGAGUAUACCCAGAAAAGCUGGGGUUUCUUACUUGGCAGGACUUAAAACUGUGGGGCAUUGACCUGAGGUUAACGGAGAAAACCCCAUUGGUUAUCUUCUACAUUUGGUCAAACAACACUACCAGAUUCCCACUGAAUUAUACCAGAGCACCUUCACCAGGCUGGUGAAAAGAUGGCAAUGCUCAAAGAAAUGGAAACCUGGGUGAUCAUCAGAAUUCUUUCCUCCCUGAGAAGAAAUGAGAAGGUGUGACAGGAUAAUGAAGACAGAAAGUUCAAGGAUGAUGGAGGCUCUAACCGUUUGAAAUACCUGAUUAAUGGAAGACCCUAAUAACAUGAACAGGCACUUACUCAAACACCGCUUGCAGAAGUUUUCUGGAAUUGGGGCUAGCACAGUUGAUAAGAACUUCAAACUAAAGUUGCAGGGGAGGGGGGGAAGUGGAAAGGCAUUUGCCAAAGACUCAUGUAAUUGGCAUGCCUGAUUUUCAUGGAUAAAUUUACCAAGGUGGCUCAUGCCAGAUUAAGUCAAAGCUCUUUUCUAACGUGAGUGAGUUCUUACAUUGUUAAUGCAUUAAGUUUAAUCUCUGUUGAAGCUAGAGAAGUAUUUGGUAUGAUACUGUAUUAGAAAAUAUUACUGAAAACAGAUACAGAAGAGCUGGAUUAGCAUGCAAUAUUGCAAAAUAAAUCAGAACUUGGCUGAA